AGGAAAUAAUGUUCUACCACAUCCAUUCCUCAAGCAGCUGAGAGAGGAAAUCCACCUACAUCGUUGCUGAGAUUGUAGCAAGGAUCAAGAACAGAAUACAUUUACCCCCUUGUGGCUGCAUUUUGCAUUUUAUUGGCCAGAGGGGAGGCGGCCUCCUCUAUGUCACCAGCAGUGCUCAUAAUUUCUUCAGCCACUCCCGGCUUGGAUCUUGGGGUCCUGGGGGUGGCUGGGCAUGUCGGGCAUGUCCCCAUCAUCUCAGAGGGGCACUGGAUAGUUGUAGGAUGUGGCCUGGUCAAUUAUGGUGGCAUAUUUGAUGAAGGGGCUAAGGAUGGGCAGAAUUGUAGCGAGGCCUCCUUAGUGAAGGAUGCAACCGGCACUCGUUCCUUAGCCCAGGUAUCCUCGAGGAAGGUGGCACCAGCUUAUUUUUUUAAAGAUGUUAUUUUUAAGUAAUCUCUAUACCCAGUGUGGGGCUCAAACUUAACCCUGAGAUCAAGAGUUGCAUACUCUACUGACCAAGCCAGCUAGAUGCCCCAAGAACAGAAUAUACUUUUAAUAAAAGGACGCUAUAGGAAGAGCCUGGAAGAUACAUUCGGGAAGUCAACUGAGCCACUGAGUGCCACAACCCCUGAGGAUAAAUGGUGAUUUCUGAGAGCUAAGCCCAGGGAACAAAGAUUACCUGAAUAGGUAAUACAAGCCAGAUAACUAUAGAGAGCAGUUUCAACCACUUGAGUACUGGCAAUGGAACUUAGAAAUUGGAAGAUGCCACUUCUCUAGGGACUGAGAUGAGAGAUCUUUAUAUGAAUUGAAAAUUCAGGGGCGCCUGGGUGGCGCAGUCGGUUAAGCGUCCGACUUCAGCCAGGUCACGAUCUCACGGUCUGUGAGUUCGAGCCCCGCGUCAGGCUCUGGGCUGACGGCUCAGAGCCUGGAGCCUGUUUCCGAUUCUGUGUCUCCCUCUCUCUCUGCCCCUCCCCCGUUCAUGCUCUGUCUCUGUCUGUCCCAAAAAUAAAUAAAAACGUUGAAAAAAAAAAUUAAAAAAAAAAAAAAAAGAAAAUUCAGACAGGAAAAUUUUGAAUGAAUUUAAAAUAAUGAUGAACAGUGGGGUCUAGAAGAGACUUCACAAACUUUCAACAUUUUAAAUCUCAUAAAAUAUUUGCCACAAUGUAUUUCUAAACUUUCCCUUAACUUUACUUGAGUGCCUCCUGACAGUAUACUAAGUUGGAUGGCCUCUGAGUUGGUUUAGGACAUUCCUUCCUUCCUUCCUGAAGUCUUUUUAAGUCUUCCCCCUUCCCCCCCACCCAAUGAUUAAUAGGCAUGCCUUAUAUAUGUCACUUAUCACACACAUAUUAUAAGCUGUAUUGCCAAGAAUAUUGACGAAAAAUAUAUUCUAUGCCAGGCCAUAAAUACUAGUGGAAAGAAUGGAAAAAGAGGCAAAAUGCCCAUGUAGUAGGGUGGAAAAGACAUAAGCUUUAACUCAGAUUUGAUUCCUGAUUCUUCUAACAGUGAGACUCUGGGCAAGCUCUUCAAGCUUCCUUUUCUUUCAUUAUAGAAUAUCUAUACUCUCUGCAGAAUGGCUCUAAGUAUUAAAUAACACAUAAAUUGCUUACAGUGCCUGGCACAUUCAUAGUAGGCAUUCACAUGUUCUCUUCCUCCUCCCAGUGUCCAAGUUUAAAAUACAUAUCGUCAACUGUACUUCCAUAAUAAAAUUUUUUAGAAAGGACAUCUUUUUCAUAGAUUAUCCAUGAUAGAGUAAAAGGGGCUGAUUCCAAUGCACAUAUAGUUUUAGGAAUUGAGAAUGAAUUCCUACCAUGAUGAAAAGCCUUCUUCCCAUCUAGACUGACACUGUAUUCCUAGAUCUAGUAGACCAUAUGGGGUGUCAAAUACCAAAAGUUUAACAGUGACCACCUCUGUAAAAUGAUAGCUACAAGGGUGAACAGAGAAAAGGACUUUCAUGUUUACAUAAUUAUGUAGUGUGAAAAUUUUUAUAAUGAACAUAUAUUGCAUGAAUUUUUAAAAUUAAGUUUGAAAAAGGAUCACCACUUGAUUCACAAACCUAAGUAAGAGUGAAGAUCCUUAGAAUGAAGCAUUUUGAUGGUUUAACUACUUGGUGUUUUCCAAGUUGCACUCAAAAUUGUCAAUAUUUACUUUGGUCAAAUGAGUAAGUCUAGAUACAUAUAUUGGAAUGCCAAUUCCAAAAAUCAUAUGACAGAAUUUAAGAAGGCAUAUUAUCAAUACUCUCACUCUAUUCUCUCACACAGACCCAGAAAGGUUAGAGGAUUCCUGGAGUCAGUCCCAUCAGAUGCUAUUAGAGCUAGAAUUACAAUCCCAACAUUUUGGGUCCUAAUUCCAUGUUGUUUUCACAGCCUGAAAAUCAAGAAUAAGUCUUCAAAAAUGUGUGCCAUCGAAAACUUUUUUUUAGCUUUAUGGAAUGUAAGUGGCCUUUUCUCUUUGAGCUGGUAUUUUAUUUAUUUAUUUACUUAAGAGAGAGAGAAAGAAAAUGCACAAGCGGGGGUGGGGGGGGGAGUAGACUCCAUGCUCAGCAGGGAGCUGGAUGUGGGCUCAAUCCCACACCUGAGAUUAUGACCUGAGCCAAAGUCAAAAGUCGGAUGCUCAAGUGAUGGAGACACCAGAUGCCUCAGCAAGUAUUUUAAAAGUUAUUUAUAAGAGGCUUCUUGCUGGCCACCCCACAGCCUGCAGUCACAUACUCAUCACUGGUCUGAUUUCCCUUGAAUAGUCUAUCCAUUAUCUGGAUCCCAAUAUAAGGACCUUCUCAUCUCCAAAAUUCCAAAGCACUCACCUGGUCUUUGACUCCCAGGUCUCUUGGUGUGGCCUACUUGAGUAGUAUGUAUUCUCUAACCUGCACUUGUUGCUUUGUACCAGCAUUCCCAGUAUCUGUGCCUUGUCAUCUGAUCUGCUGUUGCCCACUGUCCCUGCACAAACAUCUAAAACCAUUCUUCUUUUUAGGGGGAUGGAAGGAGGGCUUUUGAUGCAUUCAAUCAAUUCCCUUCCUCAGUGGUUUUCCUAUUGUGACCCUGAGCAAGAACAUGAUAAAUUUCUUUGGGGAAGAGGCUCAAGACAUCUUCCUUCCCCUCUUGUCAGCUGUAAAGCUAGAAUGGAAACUGUCUGAUGGUUAUCAGAAAUUCACUUAAUCACAUGAAGAUCUCAUCUAAAAAUAAAAGCCAAAUACACGUUUCUUUGUUUUUGCGUAUAUUUACAAUAUAAAUAUUAAUUUGUUUUCAAAGUACAUAUUUUUUUUUAACAAUUUGCAAAAGUUAUCUAGCAUGGGACAGCAAUUUAAUGUAAAGCUUCUGUAGUAGCAAUUAAGGAAAAAUAGAACUGUUUUGGGAGUAAGGAGUUCUAGAAGGAAUAUGAAUGGGCAUAAUGAUCUGAAUUUGCAAAGGGAAUGUGAAGCAGCUUAGUCCACGUUGCACUGCCAAAAACAGCAUGUUACAGGACUAGUAUGUGAGAUAGCAACCAGGAUGGGAUAUUGUAAAAACUAAACCUUGGAGAUAUAAAAAGUACACAUGCUUGCAUAGUGCGUUAAUCUUAAAGAAGCUCAACAUUUCAUUCUCAUUUUCAAUAAAUUAAAUGAAUAGUACUUAAAACACAUCACACACAAAAUUAAAGACUUGUGCAUAUAUUUUGGAUUUCAACAUUAAUGUCAAAAAUACAUAGUAUGAUUUUACAUAGGAUUUGUGCUACAUUAGAACACUAGAGACAAACAUCACUUGAGUAUUAAGGAAAACAUUAAAUAUUAAAUAACUGAGAAAUAAAAUGUGUAAACACUAAUCUAAUUGGGGAAGGGGGGGUUGCUAUUGCAACACGUCCAAUGAAGUGGUUUCAACAGUACAAAAUGGAUUAGGACAUGAGUGUUUCCAGUCUACUUGGAAUAUGUGGAUCUCAUUCCAGGAAUCCUUUAAUAAAAACUGGUCCAGGAUAACAGGAGAGGAUCCACCCUCCUGGAUGUUAAUUGGUGCACUCCGUUCUAUGCUAAUUUUUACUUUCAAACUUGGGUACUGAGCGAACGCUUUAAAUUGUCACUCCUUAUCAACAUCUUGGUGAAAACUGAGGGUUUGUUGGCGAUUCAGUGUAAGAUUUGAGUUCAUACGCAGCACCGCUAUCAACUUCCAUUGACUUUCUAGAGAACAGGAGCCGUACAUCUCUAUGGAGGUAGAUCUUUCCAGAUUUAGAACUCUGGAACCUAAACAAACAAAAAGAUGCAUUAUUUCAGGGAAUGAGUCUUUAAAAUAAAGUUCAGUAAAUUUUGAAAGCAAGAAGGAGUCUUGCUACCAAUAUUAAGAGUAACUGUUUAACAAGAUACUUAGUCUUACAUUGCUAAAGUAUGUGCUGCUAUUUAAGUGCCUCUUCCUUACUAUUCCCUAAACAUCCCAUACUCCCUUUCCUUCUUACAAUGUCAGAGAUAUUUUUUUAUUUACAUAAUCUCUACAUCCCAUGUGGGGUUCAAACUCAUGACCCUGAGAUCAAGAGUCACAUGUUCCUCUGACUGAACCAGCCAGGUGCCCCAGAGAUGUUUCUUAUUUCUAUAAAGCUUGUUUCACAUGUGAUCCUUUUUUUUUUUUAAAUCUCUGACACCAUAACACAUGCACUUUCCCUUAUCUACAAUGUCAAGUUUCAGUUCACAUCAGUCAAUUAUACUACAUUUGGGCUUUGCAGCCCUAGCAUCUUACAGUCACACAGACUGCCUUAUUUCAUAUAACUUGCCCUCCCCCAAUUGUGAGUACAUUAAAAUGGAUUCCACACUUGAGAAGUCACCACAGGAAAUAAUCAACUAUUGAGGACAAUUACUGCUAUCAUCAGUAAUGGCUAGCUAAUAAAGCCUAAUCAUCAUUAAAAAGACAAAAAUUUGUAGUGAAAUGAAAAUGGUUAUCAAUACUGUAUAUGGAACUGUAUUCCCUGCUAAUACCUGUAACAUAAUACAGGGUGCUGGAGUCUUUUGUCAUAUAAACUUAUCUGGCAGACAUUCAAACAUAUCCUUUUGUGCUAAUCUCUCUGGUUUACCCUUUGCAUAGCAGAAAUACUCUUUGGGUUUAUGAAUUUUACUCCUAAAUUAGCUGAAAAAUCUGGUGGCCAGUUUUAUGUGAGCUGAACGCCAGCUCACUCUUUCAAUCUGUCUGAAGUUUUUUCACCUUCUCAAUCUGAAGGAGAAAAAUGAGAGCUUUGGGAAGUAUACCAUACUCAUACAUAUAUAUGGUAUACUUCCGAAAGAGGUUUCUUUACAGCAUUUAAAGUAUCUAAUCACUCUGUGGGGAUUAUAUAAAAGCUGGCGUAGUUCAUGUUUACUUUGGAGAAUGUUGGUUAUUUAUGGUGGUUAAACUUCAAGAGGAAUGGUAUCAAAUGGAAGUUUAGAGAGAGUUGAAUCUUAUCCUAGCUUGGGCUGGGAUCUAUUCUUAUGGUCUGCUAUUUCAUACCAUUUCUCUUUUUAAAAAAGUCUUCAGAGUCUGUUUUCAGAUUUUCAUUCUCACAAUCUGUAUACAUUCACAUUAGGCUCAUGUCAGGUAGUGUAGAGUUGGGUUUAAAAACAUUGCUCCAGUUCAACAUGUCCUUAGGAUGUAGAACACCAGACAGAAGACCCCAGGAUAAGCAGUACUAUGUGGGAACCCAUUAAUAGACUUUUUCAAGUAUGGGGUUAAGUGGACAGCUCAGUCUUCAUGUACUCCUGAUGCCAAGGCAGAUCUCUUGAAAAAAAGCUGGCAGUCACCAUUAGUAGCAGAUUAAAGAGGUCUUCUGCCUGCGCCCUGGAUGAGAGGUGCCUCCUCCUCAUGAAUAGGAUCUUUGAAGUAAGGAGUUAGGCUAAAAUGAAUUACUGUCACUGAUGUGGUUAAGAACUUACUAUAAAUAGCAUCUGAAAAUUACCAAGAACAAAGUUACAGGCAAAAGACUAUUCAGCUCUCUCCCAACCAACAGAUUUGCUCAUUGCCUGAGAACUGCACUAGGAUUUCAGGGCCACAACCUUACCCCAGGAUACUGGCAACACAGACCUCAAGGGCAAACAAAUGGUUUUUCAAAAUCUAGUGCUGUGACCUGGGUAGUACAAGUUAGAGGAAAGGUAUUUCUGAUGGAAUUACCAGAAUAUAAAUUCUAUGAGAAAAGAGAUUUGCACACUGCUGUUUCCCUAGUACCCAGAAACAUACUCAACACAUAAAUACUUGUUGAAUGAAUGAAUGAGGGUUAAAAACUUCCCUGCCCGAUACAGUAGCCACUAGCGACAUGUGGCUACUGAGCACUUGAAAUGUGGCUAGUUCAAACUGAGUUGCCCUGUUAGUAUAAAACCUAUACUUGAUUUCAAAUAUUUAGUGCAAUAAAAGAGCAUAGAAUAACUCAUUCAUAAUUUUUAUGUUGAUCAUAUAUUCAAAUUACAACAUUUGGGUAUGUUGGGUUAAAGGAAAUAUAUUAAUCUUUCCUGUUUCCUUUUAAAAAUUUUUUUUAUUUCAGAGAGAGUGUGAGUGGGGAAAUGGGGGUAGAGAGGGAGAGGGAGAGAGAGACAGAGAUUAUUAGGUGGCUCCAUGCUGUGCUGAGCAUGCAGCCUGAUGUAGGGCUUGAUCCCAUGACCCCUGGGAUCAUGACCUGAACUGAAAUCAAGGUUGGACACUCAACUGACAGAGCCAUUCAGGCACCCCAAUCUUUCCUGUUUCUUAUUUUUUUCUAUCACUUUAUUUUUAUUAUUUUUAAAUUUUUUAAAUACUUAUUUAUUAUUGAGAGAGAGAGACAGGGCACAAGCAGGAGGCACAGAGAGAGGGACACCCAGAAUCCAAAGCAGGCUCCAAGCUGUCAGCACAGAACCCAAUGGGGGACCUGAACUCAUGAACCAUGGGAUCAUGACCUGAGCCGAAGUCAGACAUUUAACCAACUGAGCCCCCCCAGGCACCCCUCUUAUCACCUUUUUUUUUUAAUGUGGCUACUAGAAAAUACAGAACUACAUAUACGGUUCAUAUUACAGUAUUUUUAAGAUUUUAUUUUUAAGUAAUCUCUACACCCAACAUUAGGCUCGAACUCACAACCCUGAGAUCAAGAGUGUCAUCCAUGCUCUACAGACUGACCCAGCCAGGCGCCCCCAUAUUACAAUUCCAUUGAACAGCAUUGAUUUAGAAAAUGUGCUUCACUGCCCCAGAUAUGUCAGAAUUUGUUUUGAUAUAAAAUAUUUUACAUUACAUAGCUAUAAAUGAAAACUUCCUUAAUUCAACAAGUAACAAUGAAUGAAGGAAGAUAUGCUCUGUGUUUUCUGCAUCUUGGCAUAUGAAAAGUUUCCAAAUUAAGCAAAUUCCAAGGGGGCACUGGUCUAGAGUGACACGUGUUAAAAUAAACAAAAAAAUUUGGAGUUGUUCUUCUGAAGUAACAUAUUUUCAUAUUUACUUGAAACAUUACCUCAGAUGUAUGAGGUAGCGCAAUAACCGUUCUUCUGUAUGUCGGAUGUUCUCUUUAUUAACGCUUCUCUUCAUUUCUUGUUUAACAGGUACAGAAAAAGUUCUUUGUCGUAGGAAUGUCUGAUGAUUAGCUGGCAUAUCUCGUAAGUCAUAUAUCACAACAAACAUCUUCACCACAGUCUUAUUAGGGUUAAAUAAGGUCUGAAGAAACAAUAUAAAAAUUUUUCUUAAAAAAGUGAUUUAUUGAGUUGAUACAAAAUAAUUGUGCCAAUAAUAAAAUAGACUUUUUAAUAAGAAGUUAAUCCCACUGGAUAUAAUUUAGUUUUGGGAACUAAAGUUAAUAACAUUUUAGAAGUUUAUGAAAAGAUAUUCACUAUUUUAAAAAACGGUUCAAUUUAUUUCCUGUAACAAAUCAAAAUCUUUAGUCACAAAUUUCAUAUUAGACAAUAUAAACUUUUACUCUUUGUUCAGAUUUUUACAAAUGCUUCCACUAAAGUAAGCAAAAUACACCCUUACUGGAUUAAAAAAUUCCAGUUCACUUAUUUCAAACAUUAGCUUUAUUAAAGUGUGUCAAACCCAAAGUACUCAAAACAGAAUGUUAAUUUUCAUCACAUUUUGAUAAGUAAAUAGAAAUUGUUUUAAAAUAAAAAAGCUAGGUAAAACUAGACUUUUUGGUAUACUAGGUAUGUAUAGUUACUAUAAAAUUAAAAAUAUGUUCUAAAAAAAGAGACUUUUUCUUAUUUGGAAAUUUUUCCAAGUUUAGAAAAUAAGGUGUAUUAUUAAUUACCAAGUAGACUAAAUAAUACUUCAUGUUCUCACAGUUGGAUUCGUUUCAAAAACUGUAGUGUAAAAUCAUCAAUAUUAUAAUAGACCAAAAUAUGUAUCCUUAGUUAAGACUGAAUUAAAUUCAAUUGAUACUUGGCUAUUAAUAACCAGAGGAAUAUUAUUUUUUAAAGUACUAAUUUUUAAACAAGAUCCCAAGCUGCUGAUCUGACUUUAACCAAAUUACCAACACAUCAAUAGGUAACUUGGUGCCCGUGCUUUCAGAAGCUCAUCCGUGGCACUGGACAUCACUCACUGAAUCAAAAUGAGAAAUAUAUCAAUAUUAUGAUCCAACUUUUGAAAUCUAGUGAGUCUUAAGAUUAAGGCUAACACAUUCAACAACCACAACAACUAGCAAGCUAAAAGUUCAAACCAUGUUGAUAAAUAAUUAAACUAUAUAAGGAAUGAAAGACACACCUAAAUUUCAGAUUUAAAAUUAAUCAUUAAAGUUGGUAGUCCUCAAACAAAGGGGUAUGAACGUGCUGCCUUGGGAUUUAUGCCUCAUUCUUAUGACAACUGAGAGCUAGCUUUUCCAUGCUUUCACAUGAACUACAUAGCCAAGGGCAAGAAAACAAGAUGAUUAUCACUCUUUUUAGUUCAAGAAAUCCAUUUAACAUAAAAGUCUUACUUUAAUAUGCAAUGAUUAUUCCUCAGUGAAAUUAUAUAUAUAUAUGUAUAUAUAUGUAUAUAUAUGUAUAUAUUGCAAUAUGUGCACACAAAUGUAUCACAUAAUACCAUGUUUCAUCCCUGUGUGAUGUGAACUAAGCAAAUGUACAGAAGACUCCUUGAUGUAUUUGAACAAUAGUGAUGAGUAAAAGUGGUCUGGUGAAGCAUUGAUCACAUUGAGGCCAAAAGGCAUAAAAAGGCUUGUUGAAUUAGACCAGAUCCUGAGUAUAAGGAACUUAGCUAGACUUUUUGUUUUGUUUUUUUUUUUUAAUUUCAACUUUCUUGAGGUAUAACUGACAAAUAUCAGUUAGAUUCUUGUCAGUCUGCUAGAGCCAGCUUUAUAAUAUACUUUUGGGCAUGUAAGAUUAUCCUGGGUCUGACUUGGAGAUGAACCCAAUUGUAAACUGGCCUUGAUAUCAAAUUACUCUUCUGAAAAACCAAGACCAACGAUGAUGAAGGACUGCUUUGGGCUCAAGGAAUUCUCCUGAGCCAAAACUAGAUCAACACCUACACCAAAAGGAAAGAUGCUUUCUCUGCCCUCACAUCUGUCAGACUACAUUUCUACUUGGUGUAACCAUUUUAGUAGGUUAAUUUAGAAAUUAUUACACCAGGGAUAAUAUAAUUUUGUUUCCCAAGUUUUCCUGCAAAAGCAAUACUAGCAUUUGAGGUUUCCUUUUAAAUAGGUCAAUCUCAGUCUGACUAACUAUAUUAAAUGGAAGGAACUAGUAAAGUUCUAAUUACAUUGAAAACAGCUCUAUUUAAGUUACGUAAACUGUCAUAUACUAUUUUUCUAAAGCAUUCACCUUGAUUAGAUUAUUAAUGUUUUCCUUUUAUGGAGGUCCCCACAUGGCCAUUCCUGGGGCAGAGCAGGGAAACUCCAAAGAAAGCUGCAGCCCCACUGUUACUUACCAAAGUUGUUGCAGCAGCAGUAGCAGGAGAAAGGGCUAAGUUCUAUAUGUAUGUGAGAGAAUGAUUAUUGCAAUUGUAGACUAUAAAACACAUACCACUUGUAUUGUUCCUGAAGGAGGUACUCGAUAACCCCUUUUACCAAGGGACUCUAAAGUAAUCACACCCUUGAAAUAAAAGAAGACAAAUUGAGUACAAACUGAUGCAUAUGUAUAUGAAAGGCUAAAAUAAGUAAAAUAAAUCAUGUAAUUACUAAAAUUUUAGAAUUCUACUUGUAUGCAAAAACAUUCCCAUCAAUAGAUACAUUCUGAGUAUGAAAUAUUGAGGGUCCCACCCAAAAGGAAACAAUUUACUGUUCUUCCUGCAGAUGUUGAAAUAAAUAACAUUACACUGUUUGAAAUUUCCAUUAAGAUAUACAAUAUAGAAGUUCCUUAAAAAGGAAAUACAGUUAGAAGACAGGAUUAUUUUCUUGUAUCAUGUGGAAAGAGAGAAAUGAAAAAGCAACUAAUUUAUUGUUCUUUGGACAUACAAAAAGUAAAGAAUGCAGAAGGGUCUAAGUCUUAGCCAAUAGUGAAGUAAAUUCUUUAGUCGGUGAGUUAAAUUACAUAUAUGGAUUUCUGACUAGAGAUAGACCAGCAUAAUCAGCAUCACCUAUAAACUUGUUAGAAAUGCACAAUUUAUGGCUUCUCCGUAGAUCUAUCAAAUCAAAGCUGUAGUUUUAAGAUCCUCCAGAUGAUAUCAUAUGUACAUUAAAGUUUAAGAAGUACUAUACUUCUCUAUACUAGAGAACAUAGUUUUCUGAGAAGGAUGUUCUAAUCACUACAGAAACCCAAACAACGGGAAGCACGUAUAAAUUAAAACAAGGAAAGCUAGAAUUGAAUAUAUGCAAGUUUCUAGAGAACUAAGAUGACCAAACGACCACAGGUGGUAACUGUGAUAUUUAAUUCUUAGAAAGGGGGCUGUUUCAUUGGUUUUAACUGGGGAAAUAGUUUCGAGUAGUUAAGUAGAAUAAAUGCAUGCUCUGCAUUUCAUAUCCCAUCAUUUUACAUUGUACAUGACCAAACAUGUCAACUGAAGUAAAUAUAAAACAGGACUGUCCCAUCAGACAUUUUUGCUGGAUUUGUAAGAAAGACCAGGGUUGGUGGGUAAAAAGAAAAAGUGCACAAAGGUGAAAAGGAAAGCCAGACUCUGCUAUGUGAAUCAAAUGCCAUCCUUCGACUGUUAAAUUAACAUAUUAAUAUUAGGAAAUGUUUGUGGAAAUGGGCACUGAAAGGACAUAUGUUGUUCUUGUCUAAUGUGAUUUACCGCGUGGUCAUUUAAAGCAUAAAAACAGCAUAUUAACAAACUGCAUCUCUAACCAAAAUAAUAAUGAAGCUUUAGCAAUUUCUUAUGAUCUGCUUUAUGUGAAAAAAGCUGUGGCAUAUAAUGCCCCUCUUCUUCCUAGUUCCAGGAAAAAAAAGUAAAAUAUAUCCAAAUAAUAGCUACCUUUCAUAAUCACAUUGCUAUAGACAAUACAUUACUGUUCUUUCCUUGCCUCCUUCCCCUAAAUACGUAUAAGAAAACUAGUGGGGCAAAAACUACUACUACCAAGCCUAUGCUUAUUUCCUUUGAUACAUACAAUUCUAAUAGUUUUCAGAACAUGGUAGCAAUAAUUAAAUCAAUUUAUAAAGAGAGUAUGUGUAUUUUUAAAACUUUAUAGGUUAAGCCAACACUUCACAACCAUCUCUAAGCAACGUUAAGAUCAGUAGGGGCACUAGCAAAUUACAAAUUUUAGACAGAAAUUGGGAAAUUAUUUGGAAUUUUAUUAUUUAUUAUUGUAAUUUUAAAUAACUUAAUUAUUUAAUAAUUAUUUUUAAUAAUUAAAUUUAUUUUAGUUGGUCAGAAUAUUCAUGUUUCUACCUAUAAAAGUUACUGUACUUAUUGUAUUUAUUUUCUUAAGGUUUAUUUAUUUUGAGACAGAGAGAAAGCACAAGCAGGGGAGGGGUCAGAGAGAGAGGGAGAAAGGUGGGGAGAGAGACAAAAUCCCAAGCAGGCUUCCUCUGUCAGUGCAGAGUCCAUUGUGGGGCUCAAUCCUACCACCCUGAGCCAACGCUUAACCAACUGAGCCACCCAGGUGCCCCAAAAGUUAUUUUAACAUAAAGAAGAAAAAUACAUUUUGUCUGGUAUUUAAGGAUGGAAAAGAAAGAUGAAGAUAAACAGAAUUAAAAUCUUACACAAAAACUCCACAAAUUACUCUGCUAUAGAGAAUAUGCAUGCAGUAAGUAAAACUGAAAGAAGUUUAUCUUAAUUUGGUGAAUUACAAAUAGAGAAAGAUAACAUAUGGUCUUGUUAAUCUGAUGAUAAUUGAAGUCGUACCAUGAAUUUACCACUGGCAUGCCUUCUUUAGACCAUUCUACCUGGUUCCACCAUUCAAUAGUUUCUAAACAGUGACAUGUUGCUAUCUAACAGUUGGAGAACAUUUUUACCAGUGAUACCCAAAUUGGAGAGAGAUAUUAUGUGGCUUUUUGAGUUAAUCUUUAAGGAAUUAUUUCAUGAAAAGUCCUGUACCAGUUCUAUAUCACAAAAACAGAAUUUUCUGUACAUAAUAUUAUCUUUUGUGAGUCAUUUGUAUUAUUUGUGAUGAGAGGUCCCAAGGUAACAAGUAGGAAUUUGGUAUCUCAGUUCUGCUGGUCUGUGAUAUAUAUUAUCAAAAUGUGAUCAGUCCUUUAAAAACACACUAAACUACAAGAAUGUAAAUAAGAUUCCCUAAAUAAAUAUGAUUAAUUUUAUUAAUUUAUAGUAGGAAAGAUUUGUGGUCUAAGAUUUGGACUGGGUCAUUUGCAAAAGGAACCCAUUCCUAAUGAAUAAACUAACUUAGAAAAAAUUUAAUUACAAAAUGGAAAGCUUACUGAAGAAUAUUAUCAAAGAAAAGUAAGUCAGGGAUUCUUUAAUGUUUGCUUAUUUUUGAGAGAGAGAGAGAGAGAGGGAGGNAGGGGGAGGGGAAGAGAGAGGGAGACAAAGGAUCUGAAGCAGGCUCUAGGCUGUCAGCCCAAUGCUGGGCUCAAAUUCACAAGCCGUGAGAUCUAUGGCCUGAGCCGAAGUUGGAUGCUUAACUAAGUCAGGGAUUCUUAAAGGACAGACAAACUCAACUCAAUAACCUGAUUUCAUACUCUUUCUGGUAUCUGUUCAAAAGUUAUAACCAUUUGUGUGUACUUUCUAGAGAGAGUGACAAAACUCUUUAUCAUUUAAUCCUAUCUUUUUAGAUGUCAACCAAGGUCAAGAUAAAUGCUGUUCUACUCUUUAAAAAGCAUAGUUCAAAUUCUCUCUUCCUUGUUAAUUUCACUCAAAAAUAUUUAUUUGAGCUGAUUUCAGUCAUUCACUCUUUUAUCUUGUUUCUAACCCACCUUAAUGGUCAUUGGGGGCUUUGUACAUGAAUGACAGAUUACAAUAAAUGAGCAGACACCAUUAUGUUUUCUCAUUCGAAGUAUGAAACACUGAAGUAUGAAGCUCUUCAUUUUACUCUUAAAAUGGAGUAAGGCUAAAACAACUUUCCUUAAGCAAACAGGGCCAACAAUGAGUAGGCUAUAUUUAAGUCCCUAAAAAUGUGUAACUUCCUUUCCUUUGUUGUCUAUUACAUAGAUUUCUCUUUUCACAACCUUUAGUUCUUUCUUGAAAAUCUAGAAGGUUGUGGAGAAGGAUAUUAGAGGAAGCAAUUGGGCCAAGUGGGAAGCUAGAAAAUUCAAAUAGCAAGGCCAGGGCUGUAUAUUUCUAUAACUAUAGCAGUCUGUAUUUCUCAAAGUAAGACCUAACAUGAAAACACAGAUGUAACCCCUUAUUUGAGACCAUUACUGUAAACUAUGUAUACACUUGCAGGGUUAGCCACUUCUCUUUCUUUGUCUUUUGUAAAAGGGCUGAUACGAAACAUGCACCAAAACUUAGUAUUAUUUUUGCAGUUAAAGGCUUAUUUUAUUCUCAAGUGAUCAGAAUAACAAAAUGGGAAAGACGUAAUCAUGGGAUCAUUGAGUCAAAACUGUGCUUUUACUUAGCUAUCCUACUCUUCACUAGAACAUUAGUGUGGAAAACAGAAAUAGCUAGUAUUCUAAACAACUCUAGGAUUAGAAAAAAAUGGUCUCGAAACAAACAGCAUAAAGAGAGUGAAAGAGUCCAACAGAAGACUUAAUAACUCACCAAAUCUUUACCUAAAUCUUCCUGAAAUGAGGAUCACAUGUGAAGGCAACACUUAUGGGACCAGAGUAUAUAGUAAGUACUUGAGAAUUUGUCUGAAUUCAGCAAGAUAUGAAAUCAUAGUGUCACUAAUAAAAGUUUUAUCAUGUUUUUAAAUCACACAGAAACAAGAAAAUUUUCAGCAGAUCCUCAAAUGCAAAAGAGGAUAUUUGUUAGAGCUAGCUCAGAAAGAAGUUGUGAGAUAACAUGUCAGUACUUUUGUUUCUAUUCAGCCUUCAAUUUUCUCUUAGGAAGUGCUUUAUGUUUUCAAGUAUUACCACAAUGCAGUAUUAAAUUUCUUUAAAUUUAAAGACACUUGCGAUUUAAUUGGUUGAUUUUAGCAGACAGAGACAAUUUUUUAAAAUACUUGCCAUAUAAGGAGAGGGAGCAUUAUCAUCUGAAACACUGUAGAAUGACACUUCAACUGGAAGAGUCAAAUGUGUGGGGCAGAAAAUACCACUUGCCCCUACCUCAGCAGUAAAACCAUCAACAAUGCCAAGAGGAUCUAAACGAUAGUUCAAGACAGACUCCUGGAAGACAAAAUAAAUUUUAAGAAACAAAUUUUAGAAGUUAACACAUUCAUUUCUUUUUUCAUUUAAAGAAAAACAUUACUAUGAUUUCUGGUACCAAAAAAAAUAGUUGCUACUCAAACAGAAUCCAACAAUAUGUUAAAAAAAUCAUUUCUCACUAUCAAGUGGGAUUUAUUCCAGGAAUCCAAGGAUGGUUCAGUAUUUGAAAAUCAAUAAACAUGAUAGUCACUUCAAUAAGAAAAAAGAUAAAAAUUAUAUGAUCAUUUCAACAGAUGCAAAAAAAGCAUUUGAUCAAGUACAAUAUCUAUUCAUAAUAAAAUCCCUCAACAAAGUAGGUUUAGAGGGAACAUACCUUAACACAAUAAAGGCCUUAAAUAAAAACCCACAGCUAAAAUCAUACUCAGUGGGGAAAAACUGAGAGCUUUUCCCCUAAGAUCACCAACAAGACAAGGGUGUCCACUCUGAAGUCCUAGCAACAGCAAUCAGACAACAAAAAGAAUAAAAGGAAUCCAGAUUGGUAAGGAAGAAGUAAAAUUAUCACUCUAUGCAGAUGACAUGAUCCUAUAUUUAGAAAACCCUAAAGACUCCACCAAAAAAACUACUAGAACUGAUAAAUGAAUUCAGUAAAGUCUCAGGCUACAAAAUCAGUGUGCAGAAAUCUGUUCCAUGUCUAUAUACUAAUAAGGAAGCAGGAGAAAGAGAAAUUAAGAAAACAAUCCUACUUAAAAUUGUACCAGAAAUAGUAAGAUACCUAGGAAUAAACCUAAUCAAAGAGGUAAAAAGACCUAUACUCUGAAAACUAUAAAACAAUGAUGAAAGAAAUUAAAGAGGACACACAAGAAAUGAAAAGAUAUUAUAUGCUCAUGGAUUGGAAGAGCAAAUAUAGUUAAAAUUUCUGUAUUACCGAAAGACAUCUGCAUAUUUAAUGCAACCCCUAUCAAAAUAACAACAGCAUUUUUCACAGAACUAGAGAAAAAAUACUAAAAUUUAUAUGGAACCCUAGAAGACCCCAAAUAACAAGAGAAAUUUUUUAAAGUUUAUUUUAAGAAAGAGUGCAAGCAGGGGAGGGGCAGAAAGGGGAAGAGAGAGAGAAUCCCAAGCAGGCUCCACACUAUCAGUGUGGAGCCCGAUGUUGACUCAAACCCAUGAACUGUGAGAUCAUAACCUCAGUGGAAAUCAAAAGUUGGACACUAAACUGACUGAGCCACCCAGGUACCCCAACCAAAACAAUUUUGAAAAAGAAAAGCAAAGCUGAAGACAUCAUAAUUCCAGACUUCAAGUUAUAUUACAAAGCUGUAGUCAUCAAUAUAGUAUGGUACUGGCACAAAAAUAGACACAAUAGAUCAAUAGAACAGAAUAGAAAACCCAGAAAUAAACCCCCAACUAUAUGGUCAAUUAAUCUUUGACAAGGGAGGAAAGAAAAUCCAGUGGGGAAAAGACAGUCUGUUCAACAAACGGUGUUGAGAAAACUAGACAGCUACAUAUGAAAGAAUUAAAGUGGACCACUUCCUUACAUCAUACACAAAAAUAAUUCAAAAUGGAUUCAAGACCUAAAUGUGAGACACCUAAAACCAUAAAAAUACUGGAAGAGAGCACAAGCAGUAAUGUCCCUGAUGUCAGCCACAGCAAUAUUUUUCUAAAUAUGUCUCCUGAGACACGGGAAAUAAAAGCAAAAAUAAACUAUUGGGGCUACAUCAAAAUAAAAAACUUCCGCACAGCGAAGAAAACAAUCAACAAACCUAAAAGGUAACUUAAUGAGAGAAGAUAUUUGCAUACGACAUAUAUGAUAAAGGAUUAGUAUCCAAAAUAUACAAAGAGCUCACACAACUCAACACCCAAAAAAAAAAUAAUCCAACUAAAAUAUGGGCAGAAGAUAUGAACAAGCACUUCUCCAAAGAAGUCGUAUAGGUAGCCAACAGACAAAUGAAAAAAUGUUCAACAUCCCUCAUCAUUAGGGAAAUGCAAAUCAAAACUACAAUAAGAUAUUGCCUCACACCUGUCAGAAUGGCUAAAAUAAAAAACAUACACAAUAAGUAUUGGCAAAAAUGUAAAGAAAAAGGAACUCUCUUGUACUCUUGGUGAGAAUCCAAACUGGUGUAGGCACUGUGGUGAACAGUAUGGAGGUUUCUGGGGUGUCUGGGCAGCUCAUUCGGUUAAGCCUCCAACUUCAGCUCAGCUCAUGAUCUCACAGUUUGUAGGUUUGAGCCCCAUGCUGGGCUCUGUGCUGACAGCUCAGAGCCUGGAGCCUGCUUCAGUUUCUGUGUCUCCCUCUCUCUCUGCCCCUCCCCUGCUUGUGCUGUUGAUUCUCCCGCUCUCAAAAAAUGUUAAAAAACAAAUUAAGAAAGAAAAAAACAGCAUGGAGGUUCCUCAAAAAGUUAAAAACUAGAACUACCCUACAAUCCAGUAACCACACUACUAGAUAUGUACAGAAAAGAUACAAAAACACUAUUCAAAGGGAUACAUGCACCCCUGUGUUUACAGCAGCAUUAUUUACAAUCGCCAAAUUAUGGAAGCAGCCUACAAUACAUGAAUGUAAGAUAUAGGGUGUGUGUGUGUGUGUGUGUGUGUGUGUGUGUAUGUGUAGCAGUAUGUAUGUAUGUAUAUACAUAUAUAUAUACAUAUAUAUAUAUAUAUAUAGCAGUAUAACUGUGUGUAUGUGUAUAGAUACUUACACACACACACACACACACACACACACACACACACAAACACAAUGAAGUAUUAUUCAGCCAUAUAAAAGAAUGAAGCCUUGGCAUUUGCAACAACAUAGAUGGAGCUAGAGAGUAUAAUCCUAAGCAAAAUAAAUCAAUCACAGACAAUUACCGUAUGAUUUCACUCAUGUAGAAUUUAAGAAACAAAACAAACAAGUAAAGGAAAAAGCGUUAACCCAAGAGCGUUAACCCAAGAAGCAGACUCUCAUCUAUAGAGAACUGAUGGUUACCAGAGGGGAGGUGGGUGGGGGGAUGGGUGAAAUAAGUGAUGGGGAUUAAAGAGUGCACUUGUCAUUGAAGAGCAUAGGGUAAUGUACAGAAUUGUUGAAUCACUACAUUGUACACCUGAAAUUAAUAUAACUGUAUGUUAACUAUGCUGGAAUUAAAAUCAAAUUAAAUUAAAAAUAAAAAUAAAUAAAUGACAGGUUAAACCCCCCCAAAAAAAGUUGCUACUAUUUUCAAGUCCUUAUUCAGAUGUUCAUUUGAACCGAAAUCAACUUUUCUCUCUCAAUCUUCUACAAUCCUAUGAAGUUUGGCCUCCUCUCACUAUUCCAAUGCACACUGAACUAUCCUUAAACUUCACCACUGUUCAAACCUAAUUAUUUAAUAUGUUAUUCUUAUCUCUGUAAAUAAAACUAUGUUCUACCAGAGCAGGUAUAAUAGAAAUUUUCUUACCCUUCAUAGAGCCUAUUCAAGGUGCUAGACACAGAGAAGCACUUAAAAUCUUGUUAACACUCUCAAGCUCACUUGAUGACAUAAUCACUUGUAACAAUUUAGUGCUAACUUGCUACGUAUAAGAAACAUUUUAGGGGCACCUGGCUGGCUCAGUUAGUAGAGCAUGCAACUCUUGAUCUCAUGGUUUUAAGUGAGCCCCAUGUUGGGUUUAGAGAUUACUUUAAAAACCUUAAAAAUAUAAAGAUUUAAUAUUCUUAAGAUGUCACUUUUCCACAUAUUGACCUAUUAUCAACGCAAUCCAAACAAAAUCUCAGCAGUCUGUUUUGUAGGAAUAGGUAAGCUAACUCUAAAAUUUACAUGAUGAAGGGGAAAGGAACUACAAUAGUUGAAGCAAUUUUAAGGAAGAAUAGGGGUGCCUGGGUGACUCAGUCAGUUAAGCAUCUGACUUCAGCUCAGGUCAUGAUCUGGCAGUUUGUGAGUUUGAGCCCUGCGUUGGCAUCUGUGCUAACAGCUCGGAGCCUGAAACCUGCUUUGGAUUCUGUGUCUCCCUCUCUUUUUGCCCCUCCCCCAUUUGCACUCCGUCUCUUUCUCCCUCUCAAAAAUAAACAUUAGAUUUUUUUUUUUAAAAGAAAGAAUAACAUGUUAGAGAACUCACAUUAGUUCAUGUCAAUUCUAAAAUAAUUGGGCAUUCAUGUUCAUAAAAAUGAAACUGGACUAUAAACUACAUAUCAUAUAUAAAUCUUAACUCGAAAUGGAUCACACAACUAAAUGUAAGAGCUAAAACAAUAAAACUUGUAGGAAAAAAGUUUUGUGACCUUGGGGUCAAGCAAAUAGUUCUCAACCACGGUACAUGUGUCAAUGUUUAGAGAUAUUUUUUACUGCUAUACCUGGGGGGUAAGGGGCAGACGAUGGUACUGAACUCUAAUGGACAGAGGCCAAAGAUUCUACUAAAUAUCAUAUAAUGCAUCAAACAGAUCCCAUAACAAAGAAUUAUCUGGCUCAAAUAUCAAUAGUGCCAUGGUGGAGAAGUGUUGGGUUAGAUUUUUCAGAUGCACUAUCAAAAUUAAGAUCCAUAAAAGAAAAGAAUAAAUUGGACAUUUAACAAAACUAAAAUUAAAAUCUAUUGCUCUUCAGGGGCGUCUGGGUAGCUCAGCUGGUUGAGUGUCCAACUCUUGAUUUCUGCUCAGGUCAUGAUCCCAAGGCCGUGGGCUGGACGCCCACAUUGGGCUCCAUACUGAGCGAGUAGCGUACUUGGGAUUCUCUCCCUCUGUCUUUCUCCCAUGCUUGCAUUCCCUCAUUCUCUCUCUCUCUCAAAAACCAUAAAUGAAAAAAAUAAUUAUUUGGAAAACAUUAUGUGCUUACUUGGGAAAGAAAAGCUAAAUGAUAAAGCACAGAAAAGAGGCUCAACAGUAUGAGUAAUCAGGGAAAUACAAAUUAAAACCACAGUUCAACAGCAUUGCAAAACUACUAGAAUGAUUAAAAUUAAAACGACUGACCCAUGCAAACACUGGCAAGGAUGUGGAUGAUCUAGAACCCCCAUACACUACUAGUAGGAAUUAAACAUGGUAUAACCACUUUGGAAAACACCUUGGCAGUUUCUUAAAAGAAGUUAAAGAUAUACCUACCAUACUACCCAGACAUUCCAUUCCUAGGUAGUUACCCAAACAAAAUGAAAACUUAUGUCCACACAAAAAUGCAUCCAUGAAUAUCCACAGCAGCUUUAUUUGUAAUAGCCCCAAACUAGAAACGACCCAAAGGCCUAGAAUCAAGUGAGUGAAUAAACAAAUAGUGGUAUAUCAAUAUAAUGGAAAUAAAAAGAAAUAAACUCUUGAUACAAAGGACAACUAUAAAUUAAAGAGAACUUAUGGGUUGGACAGUCUCAGAACGUCUCUGUAUUUUUCUACUGAAGUCAAGUGAAAAUAUAUGCAUAUCUGCACAAAUAACAU
RNAcentral lists this long non-coding RNA (19838 nucleotides) under Lynx pardinus (Iberian lynx). The record is from RNAcentral. Lineage: Eukaryota; Metazoa; Chordata; Mammalia; Carnivora; Felidae.